ACGGCUCAGUAACGCGUAGUCAAUCUACCCUGUUGACGGGGAUAACCUCGGGAAACUGAGAAUAAUACCCGAUAGAACAUUAUGCCUGGAAUGGUUUAUGUUUCAAAUGAUUUAUCGCAAUAGGAUGGGACUGCGGCCUAUCAGUUUGUUGGUGAGGUAAUGGCCCACCAAGACUAUUACAGGUACGGGCUCUGAGAGGAGUGGCCCGGAGAUGGGUACUGAGACACGGACCCAGGCCCUAUGGGGCGCAGCAGGCGAGAAAACUUUGCAAUGUGCGAAAGCACGACAAGGUUAAUCCGAGUGGUUUCUGCUAAAGAAACCUUUUGUCAGUCCUAGAAACACUGAUGAAUAAGGGGUGGGCAAGUUCUGGUGUCAGCCGCCGCGGUAAAACCAGCACCUCAAGUGGUCAGGAUGAUUAUUGGGCCUAAAGCAUCCGUAGCUUGUUUUGUAAGUUUUCGGUUAAAUCCAUACGCUUAACGUAUGGGCUGCCGGGAAUACUGCAUAACUAGGAAGUGGGAGAGGUAGACGGUACUCGGUAGGAAGGGGUAAAAUCCUUUGAUCUAUUGAUGACCACCUGUGGCGAAGGCGGUCUACCAGAACACGUUCGACGGUGAGGGAUGAAAGCUGGGGGAGCAAACCGGAUUAGAUACCCGGGUAGUCCCAGCUGUAAACUAUGCAAACUCAGUGAUGCAUUGGCUUGUGGCCAAUGCAGUGCUGCAGGGAAGCCGUUAAGUUUGCCGCCUGGGAAGUACGUACGCAAGUAUGAAACUUAAAGGAAUUGGCGGGGGAGCCC
Molecule: ribosomal RNA, 793 nt
Filed under: uncultured crenarchaeote
Lineage: Archaea; Thermoproteati; Thermoproteota
Description: bacterial SSU rRNA
Rfam family: Archaeal small subunit ribosomal RNA
Source: RNAcentral